CAAACCAAACGACGCUGACGCAUCACCGCCAUCACGCACGCGGUUCUGAUCGAAAAUCGAAAUCAAACAUUCGAGGUAUUUGAAAUCUGAAUUCUGAUCGAAAUCAAACAUUCAAGCGCGCUGCUGCAUCAUCAAACGCGGUUCUGAUUGAGUCGCCACUCGCCACCACGUUGAUAGAUAUCUGUUUGGCAUAUUGAGUUUAAGAAGGGCCGGCUAAACCUAAAGUGACUUCAUCUUGAGAAAUAAUGCCUCCCGUUCCUAAAUACAAACACCUAUCCGGCCAUCAAAAACGUAAGAGGAAGAAGAUAGAGGAAGAGAAAAGAAAGGCGGACGAAGUAAAACAAAACCGAAUACACAAGUUUUUUUCAAAAGAAACUAAAAGUUCUAGUUCUAACUUGGGUGAUGAUAAUGUGGGUGAAGACAAUGUGAAAGGAGAUGAAUGCAUAUAAAGUGUUGUUGACACUUUACAUGCAGUACUAUAUCUUCCAACGUAGUACUACUUAUCCUUAUGCUAUAAAUGCAUAUAAAGUGUUGUUGACAAUUCCGGUAACCGUGUCAUCGGCAGAAAGAAGUUUCUCAAAGUUGAAGUUGUUGAAGACCUAUUUACGUUCUACAAUGUCACAAGAAAGGCUAAACGGGUUAGCGACAAUAUCUAUUGAAAGUGAAAUAUUAGAUACUAUGGAUUACAAGGAGUUGAUCGAGAGCUUUGCAUCAAAAAACGCUAGGAGAACCACACUGUUUGCUUAGCAAGUAAGUUCGAUACUUUGAUCAUUUUUGCUACACUAUUUUUGUUAAUUUGUUUUAUCUAUUUCAUAACAAUUAUCGUAGUAUUAUGAAUUUUUAGUAUUUAUAUAUAUAUGAUUGAAUGAUUGAUGAGUUUAUGUUAUAUGAAGAUUUGCGAAUAGGGUCCAAAUUUUUUAUCUCGAACAGGGCCAAAAAAAAUUUUGUGAUUUUCGGA
This is a long non-coding RNA of Helianthus annuus (common sunflower), 958 nucleotides long. RefSeq lists it as uncharacterized. Lineage: Eukaryota; Viridiplantae; Streptophyta; Magnoliopsida; Asterales; Asteraceae. The transcript is spliced from 3 exons. The record is from RefSeq and is a predicted model, not a curated record.